RNAcentral lists this ribosomal RNA (1381 nucleotides) under uncultured bacterium. Its description in RNAcentral is "partial 16S ribosomal RNA". It matches the Rfam family "Bacterial small subunit ribosomal RNA". The record is from RNAcentral.
AGAGUUUGAUCCUGGCUCAGGAUGAACGCUAGCGACAGGCUUAACACAUGCAAGUCGAGGGGCAGCGAGGGCGUAGCAAUACGCCUGUCGGCGACCGGCGCACUGGUGAGUAACACGUAUGCGACCUGCCCCCUACAGGGGUAUAACCCGUAGAAAUGCGGACUAAUCCCCCAUAGUCCUGGAGGCUGCAUGGCAUUCAGGGGAAAGGCCAGCCGGUAGGGGAUGGGCAUGCGGCGCAUUAGCUAGUUGGCGGGGCAACGGCCCACCAAGGCGACGAUGCGUAGGGGUUCUGAGAGGAAGGUCCCCCACACUGGUACUGAGACACGGACCAGACUCCUACGGGAGGCAGCAGUGGGGAAUAUUGGGCAAUGGGGGAAACCCUGACCCAGCAACGCCGCGUGAAGGAAGAAGGCUUUCGGGUUGUAAACUUCUUUUACCACGGACGAAGAAAGUGACGGUACCUGGAGAAAAAGCCACGGCUAACUACGUGCCAGCAGCCGCGGUAAUACGUAGGUGGCAAGCGUUGUCCUGGAUUUACUGGGUGUAAAGGGCGUGUAGGCGGAGAUGCAAGUCAGAAGUGAAAUCCACGGGCUUAACUCGUGAACUGCUUUUGAAACUGCAUCCCUUGAGUAUCGGAGAGGCAGGCGGAAUUCCUAGUGUAGCGGUGAAAUGCGUAGAUAUUAGGAGGAACACCAGUGGCGAAGGCGGCCUGCUGGACGACAACUGACGCUGAGGCGCGAAAGCGUGGGGAGCAAACAGGAUUAGAUACCCUGGUAGUCCUCGCUGUAAACGAUGAAUACUAGGUGUGCGGGGACUGACCCCCCUGCGUGCCGCAGCUAACGCAAUAAGUAUUCCACCUGGGGAGUACGAUCGCAAGGUUGAAACUCAAAGGAAUUGACGGGGGCCCGCACAAGCAGUGGAGUAUGUGGUUUAAUUCGAAGCAACGCGAAGAACCUUACCUAGACUUGACAUGUCCUGAAUUACCAGUAAUGUGGGAAGUUCCUUCGGGAACAGGAACACAGGUGGUGCAUGGUUGUCGUCAGCUCGUGUCGUGAGAUGUUGGGUUAAGUCCCGCAACGAGCGCAACCCUUAUUGUUAGUUGGUACCAUUAAGUUGACCACUCUAGCGAGACUGCCCGGGUUAACCGGGAGGAAGGUGGGGAUGACGUCAAAUCAUCAUGCCCCUUAUGUCUAGGGCUACACACGUGCUACAAUGGCAAGUACAAAGAGAAGCAAUACUGUGAAGUGGAGCAAAACUCAAAAACUUGUCUCAGUUCGGAUUGUAGGCUGAAACUCGCCUACAUGAAGCUGGAGUUGCUAGUAAUCGCGAAUCAGAAUGUCGCGGUGAAUACGUUCCCGGGUCUUGCACACACCGCCCGUCA